UUCCGGUUGAUCCUGCCGGAGGCUACCGCUAUUGGAGUUCGAUUAAGCCAUGCGAGUCGCGAGAAAUUAGAUUCUCGGCGUACCGCUCAGUAACACGUGGGUAACCUGCCCUAUGCUGGAUAAUAACCUCGGGAAACUGAGAAUAAUGAUCCAUAGUUCACUACGCCUGGAACGGUGAGUGGAUGAAAGCCCCGGCGGCAUAGGAUGGGCCUGCGGCGUAUCAGGUUGUAGGGGGUGUAACGUACCCUCUAGCCCUCUACGCGUACGGGUGUUGGGAGACAUAGCCCGGAGAUGGAUUCUGAGACACGAAUCCAGACCCUACGGGGUGCAGCAGGCGCGAAAACUUGGCAAUGCGAGAAAUCGUGACCAGGGAACUCCAAGUGCAUCGGGUAAGACCGAUGCUUUUCUUGACUCUAAAUAGGUCUUGGAAUAAGGGGUGGGUAAGGACGGUGCCAGCCGCCGCGGUAAUACCGGCGCCUCAAGUGGUAGUCGCUUUUAUUGGGCCUAAAACGUCCGUAGCCGGUCUGAUACAUUCGUGGGUAAAUCAACCAGCUCAACUGGUUGAAUUCUGCGAGGACGGUCAGACUUGGGACCGGGAGAGGUGUGGGGUACGCUCAGGGUAGGGGUGAAAUCCUGUCAUCCUGAGCGGACCACCUGUUGCGAAGGCGCCACACUAGAACGGAUCCGACGGUCAGGGACGAAGCCUAGGGGCACGAACCGGAUUAGAUACCCGGGUAGUCCUAGGUGUAACCGCUGUGGACUUGAUGUUGGGGGUGCUCCGAGCACUCUCAGUGUCGAAGCGAAGGUGAUAAGUCCACUGCCUGGGAAGUACGGUCGCAAGGCUGAAACUUAAAGGAAUUGGCGGGGGAGCACCGCAACCUGAGGAUUGUGCGGUUUAAUUGGAUCAACGCCGAA
Molecule: ribosomal RNA, 915 nt
Filed under: uncultured archaeon
Lineage: Archaea
Description: bacterial SSU rRNA
Rfam family: Archaeal small subunit ribosomal RNA
Source: RNAcentral